GAUGAACGCUAGCGGCGUGCCUAACACAUGCAAGUCGAACGGACCUUGAGUUGUGAAACUUCGGUUGAUCAACUCGCUGGUUAGUGGCGAACGGGUGAGUAAUAGAUAGGUAACCUGCCCUUAAGUCUGGGAUAACUUUUCGAAAGGAAAGCUAAUACCGGAUAUUUCUUUACAUCAUAAGAUGUUUAGAGGAAAGAUCCGUCGCUUAAGGAGGGGCUUAUCUCUGAUUAGCUUGUUGGUAGGGUAAUGGCCUACCAAGGCAACGAUCAGUAGCUGGUCUGAGAGGAUGAUCAGCCACACUGGAACUGAGACACGGUCCAG
This 321-nucleotide ribosomal RNA is filed under the name uncultured bacterium. RNAcentral describes it as "bacterial SSU rRNA". It matches the Rfam family "Bacterial small subunit ribosomal RNA", at positions 28 to 334 of the family's 1533-position model. The record is from RNAcentral.